UACGUAGGGGGCAAGCGUUGUCCGGAAUCAUUGGGCGUAAAGAGCGCGUAGGCGGCCCGAUAAGUCCGCUGUGAAAGUCAAGGGCUUAACCCUUGAAUGCCGGUGGAAACUGUCGGGCUAGAGUCCGGAAGAGGCGAGUGGAAUUCCUGGUGUAGCGGUGAAAUGCGCAGAUAUCAGGAAGAACACCAAUGGCGAAAGCAGCUCUCUGGGACGGUACUGACGCUGAGACGCGAAAGCGUGGGGAGCGAACAGG
This 253-nucleotide ribosomal RNA is filed under the name uncultured bacterium. Its description in RNAcentral is "partial 16S ribosomal RNA". It matches the Rfam family "Bacterial small subunit ribosomal RNA", at positions 524 to 776 of the family's 1533-position model. The record is from RNAcentral.